GUCUACGGCCAUACCACCCUGAACGCGCCCGAUCUCGUCUGAUCUUGGAAGCUAAGCAGGGUCGGGCCUGGUUAGUACUUGGAUGGGAGAAAUGUACCAAACAUGUUGGUUUCUUAGUUU
This 120-nucleotide ribosomal RNA is filed under the name Oryctolagus cuniculus (rabbit). The record is from RNAcentral. Lineage: Eukaryota; Metazoa; Chordata; Mammalia; Lagomorpha; Leporidae.